AUUACCUGGGGAUCUUGUUAAAAUGCAGAUUCUGAUUCAGAAGAUCUGGUUAGAGGUUUGAGAGUCUGCAUUUCUAGCAAGCUCCCUGGUGAUGCCAA
Molecule: microRNA precursor, 98 nt
Filed under: Pteropus alecto (black flying fox)
Lineage: Eukaryota; Metazoa; Chordata; Mammalia; Chiroptera; Pteropodidae
Also listed under: 1 other name
Description: mir-544 microRNA precursor family
Rfam family: mir-544 microRNA precursor family
Source: Rfam by way of RNAcentral